Molecule: ribosomal RNA, 305 nt
Filed under: uncultured bacterium
Lineage: Bacteria
Description: bacterial SSU rRNA
Rfam family: Bacterial small subunit ribosomal RNA
Source: RNAcentral
UCCCUACGGGAGGCAGCAGUGGGGAAUAUUGGGCAAUGGAGGAAACCCUGAACCAGCCAAGCCGCGUGAGGGAAGACGGCCCUAUGGGUUGUAAACCUCUUUUGUCGGAGAACAAAACCCGGGACGUGUCCCGGACUGCGCGUAUCCGAAGAAAAAGCAUCGGCUAACUCCGUGCCAGCAGCCGCGGUAAUACGGAGGAUGCGAGCGUUAUCCGGAUUUAUUGGGUUUAAAGGGUGCGUAGGCGGUCCGUUAAGUCAGCGGUAAAAUUGCGGGGCUCAACCCCGUCGAGCCGUUGAAACUGGCAG